CUAGAAGGAAUUCCGAUCUAUAUAUAGAAAAUUAUUGACCUGGCUACUGAGGUUGUCAUUUGUCGCUUCUGUAAAAGGAGUAAAAAACGGGGCAUGUAAUAUCAAAAUCGGGAAUACGCUGGCAUUUCAUAAUCUAUCAUGUAUUGUUACGUAGGGACAUUUGUUCUUACGAAACAGCUUAUAAAUGCACAUCUUAUACAGGGGCAGAUCCAGCCAUUUUAAAAAGGGAGCGGGUUCCAACUAUAUGUCCCUAUUCAAAUGCAUUGAUCGGCCGAAAAAGGGAGGUUCCAGCCCCCGGAACCCCCUUCUGGAUCCGCCACUGUUACAACAUUUUGAUGUCUCAUAUAGACUUUCCAGUUCGUUUUUCAUUGUAUACUAGAAAGAUCUCAUUUUUGUCUGAAUUGGUGAACCCUUUUUUAACGAUAAAGAGUAAUAAGGAAAUGAAAAUUGAAUAAGGAAAUAGAAACUGAAUAAAGAAAUAGAAACCCAAUAAGGAAAUGGAAAUCUAAUAUUAUAACAAUGAAAUAAAAACCCAAUAAGGAAAUAGAAACCGAACAAGGAAUGAAAAUCGAAUAAGGAAAAAGUUACCGAAUAAGGAAAUGAAAAUUGAAUUAGGAAAUAGAAACCGAAUUAAGGAAAUGAAAAUUGAAUAAGGAAAUAGACACCAAAUAAGGAAAUAGAAACCGAAUAAGUAAAAAGUUACCGAAUAAGGAAAUGAAAAUCGAAUAAGGAAAAAGAAACCGAAUAAGGAAUGUUAUUACAUUGGUUGCAAUGAAUUACAUUGAUUUCCCAGUUAAAUAAAAACCGAUAAUUUCACAUGUGAAAUAAACGUGGUUAUUUCACUCUCUGACGUCAUACAAUAAGUACCGAUUAUCAGGUUAUCUGCAUGUUGAUAUCGUAAAAUAUCAGCUGCGAGACAUAAUAUGAAGCUUUUUGUCGAGUGAGCGUAGCGAACGAGAUCAACUAGCCUUCAUAUAAUGUCAAGCAGCUGAUAUUUUACAAUAUCAAUAUGCAGAUAAUCUGAUAAUCGAUUUAUCGGGCUAUAUUUGCGUGUUUCGGAAGUGUUUUCUUUGUUUCACCAGCACACAAAAGAUUGACUUGAUAAGUUCGGGUCAAAGUUAUUAACGUCGGUUCAAACAUUAUGACGUCGCUGAUAUGUCAGGGUCAAAGUUAUUAAGGCCGGGUCAACGUAUUUGACGUCACAAAGACAUGAUACGGAAUAAUAUUAUUAAUUUGUAUAUUUUAACAAAUUUGAUUCGUUUAGGGAUAGUCACAUGUUAAACUAUAUUUUCGAAGGUAGAGAGAAAACGGCGGAUAGCAAAAAGCAUAUUGUACGGCAAAAAGCAUAUUGCACGGUUAUUUUUAGAAAAUAUAAAAACCGAUAAACUUUGUGACGUCAUGUAUUGAAUUUCAGGAUAUUGUUAAACGAUCUUAACGUUUUGAAACAGAUGAUAUCUGUGAUCGAUUAUUUGACGGAAAAAAUCUUCAAAUACUUAAGAUGACAAACAAACAAAAAAAAAGCAAUUGAAAUAACAACUAAUAUUUUGUAUUGUUAAGGAGACAAUAUGAUAUCUAUAAAAUUCCAACAAAAUCAAAUGACGAUUUUGAUACAAAUAUGGUCGGAAAUUAAUAAUAUAACAAAUAUAGCCUUUGUAUGAGGUCAAUACAGGAUAUAUCGACCCAAAGAAGUAUAUCGACCUCGGACUACGUUCUCAGUCAAUAUACUUCUUUCAGGUCAAUAUAUCCUUGUAUCGACCUCAUACAAAGGCUAUAUUUGUAUAAUAUUAAGAGCUGAAUAGAGUGAUAUAGACAGUGGGACGACCGAUAAUAGGCGUUGUCAAGACGUCGAUAACGUCGGAUCAAAACAAAUUGUGAAUGCGUAGGAAAAAAAUAUAGUUCCUUACAUUUCUAACAUUAAUUUCUUUAAAAAAAAGCCAUUAGCCAAUGUAAUAAAAAGUAUAACUAAUCACCGUAUUUGAAUAUCAAAAAUAAGACAACUUGUGAACGAACGCCGCUGGAUUAAGGAUUAAACUCGUGCUGCGCACUCGUUUAAUCCAUGCGACGUUCGGUCACGCGUUGUCUUAUUUAUGAUAUACAAAUACGGCGAUUAGUUAUACUAUAAAUAAUCGAAAAAGGAAAAUGAAAACGAAUAAGGAAACGAAAAAAACUUUUUGAGUAAAAAUAUUUUGAGGAAAAAAAUAUUUUGAGGAAAAAAAAAUUGAGGAAAAAAAAAUUUGAGGAAAAAAAAAAAUUUGAGGAAAAAAAAAUUGAAGGAGAAAAAAAAAUCAGUUUUGGACUUGUAAAAUUUUUCAAAAUUUGAAUAUCGAAAAAGGAACUGGAAACUGAAUAAUGAAAUGAAAAUCGAAAAAGGAAAUAGAAACCGAAAAAGAAAAUGAAUAUUGGAAAAGGAAAAAGAAACCGAAUAAGGAAAUGAAAAUUGUAUAAGGAAAUGAAAAUCGAAUAAGGAAACGAAAAUCCAAUAAUAAAAUAAAAACCAAAUAAGAAAUAGAAACCGAAUAAGGAAAUAGAAACCGAAUAAGGAAACAGAAACCGAAAAAAGAAAUGAAUAUUGAAAAAGGAAAAAGAAACCGAAUAAGGAAAAAGAAACCAAAUAAGGAAAAAGAAACCGAAUAAGGAAAUGGAAAUUGAAUAAGGAAAUGAAAAUCCAAUAAGGGAAUAGAAACUGAAUAAGGAACUAGAAACCGAAAAAGGAAAUGGAUAUUGAAAAAGGAAAAAGAAACCGAAUUAGGAAAUGAAAAUCGAAUAAGGAAAUAGAAACCGAAAAAGGAUAUGUAUAUUGGAAAAGGAAAAAGAAACCGAAUAAGGAAAUGAAAAUCGUAUAAGGAAAUGAAAAUCGAAUAAGGAAACGAAAAUCCAUAAUGAAAUAGAAACCAAAUAAGGAAAUAGAAACCGAAUAAGGAAAUAGAAACUGAAUAAGGAAACAGAAACCGAAAAAGGAAAUGAAUAUUGAAAAGGAAAAAGAAACCAAAUAAGGAAAAAGAAACUGAAUAAGGAAAAAGAAACCGAAUAAGGAAAAAGAAACCGAAUAAGGAAAUGGAAAUUGAAUAAGGAAAUGAAAAUCCAAUAAGGAAAUAGAAACCGAAUAAGGAUCUAGAAACCGAAAAAGGAAAUGAAUAUUGAAAAAGGAAAAAGAAACCAUUAGGAAAUGAAAAUCGAAUAAGGAAGAAUAAGGAAAUGGAAAUUGAAUAAGGAAAUGAAAAUCCAAUAAGGAAAUAGAAACUGAAUAAGGAACUAGAAACCGAAAAAGGAAAUGAAUAUUGAAAAAGGAAAAAGAAACCGAAUUAGGAAAUGAAAAUCGAAUAAGGAAAUGGAAAUCGAAUAAGGAAAUGAAAAUCCAAUAAGGAAAUAGAAACUGAAUAAGGAAAUAGAAACCGAAUAAGGAAAUGAAUAUUGAAAAAAUAAAAAAGAAACCGAAUAAGGAAAUGAAAAUUGAAUAAGGAAAUGGAAAUCGAAUAAGGAAAUGAAAAUCCAAUAAGGAAAUAGAAACCGAAUAAGGAAAUAGAAACCGAAAAAGGAAAUGAAUAUUGAAAAAGGAAGAAGAAACCGAAUAGGGAAAAGAAAAUCGAAUAAGGAAAUGAAAAUCGAAUAAGGAAAUGGAAAUCGAAUAAGGAUGAUAAUCGAAAAAGGAAAAAGAAAACGAAUAAGGAAAUGAAAAAAUACUUUUUGAAGAAAAAUAUUUUGAGGAAAAAAAAAUUUGAGGAAAAAAAAAUGAG
RNAcentral lists this long non-coding RNA (3734 nucleotides) under Mytilus galloprovincialis (Mediterranean mussel). Lineage: Eukaryota; Metazoa; Mollusca; Bivalvia; Mytilida; Mytilidae. The record is from RNAcentral.